This 521-nucleotide long non-coding RNA is filed under the name Phoenix dactylifera (date palm). RNAcentral describes it as "long non-coding RNA (PDAC_LNC021767)". Lineage: Eukaryota; Viridiplantae; Streptophyta; Magnoliopsida; Arecales; Arecaceae. The record is from RNAcentral.
AGAGAGAGAGAGAGAGAGAGAGAGAGAGGAGACAAAAUCAUUAACAGACCCAAGACUAGAGUGUUUCAGAAAAGUUCGAUAGAAUUAACUAUUUUAAACAGGAUUAGAUUAGUUGGGAUAAAAGUAUAAAAGAUCUAAUCAAGAAGAACCAUAUCAGAUUUCCAGCAAGAAUUGGUCUAGAAACCCUUCCAUCCACGACCUCAAGACUGAGAGGGGUCCUAGGAUAAAUUCUUCUUCAGGAACCAUAAACAAGAAAGAAUUACCGAUGGAUCUAAUAAAAUUCUUCUUGAGGGAAUCAGUUCAUGAAAUUUUCUAAAAGAUAAAGAUACAAAACCAGAUAUCCAUGCAAGAUUAAGCAAAGAAAAUGAAAAGAAAAAAAAAACUAAAAGGGCCUGUAAAAAUUCAGCAAGCAUCCAAAAUCCAUACAUACAUAUAUAUAAAAAAACUUCGUUUCCUUCAAAUAAAGGGACAGAAAGCCCCUACAUCCAUUAAAACAAAAGAAAACCAUAAUGAAAAAAAAA